This 23-nucleotide microRNA is filed under the name Petromyzon marinus (sea lamprey). RNAcentral's name for it is "pma-miR-130c". Its record names the gene pma-miR-130c. Lineage: Eukaryota; Metazoa; Chordata; Hyperoartia; Petromyzontiformes; Petromyzontidae. The record is from miRBase by way of RNAcentral.
CAGUGCAACAUAUAAUAGGGCAC